UUACCAUUAUUUCAAUAUUUUAAAAAAUUUAGGGGCAAAUUUAGCGUUAUUUAAUUUACAAGGUAACCGCAUGGGGAAAAUUGAUCUUAUUUGUACAUGUAUUUAAAGUCGAGACAUGUUAGUAUGGGAUGUUAAUUGCUAGACCCAGAGCGAUUUAUCAAGCAGAAGGCUUCAGAAUUUGAAUCAGCCGCCUUGGUCCCUUAGUCGCUUGAUGAUUUACUGCUCAAUUCCAAUGAAGAAGAAUGUCUCAUCUCUUUCAUAAUUUAUUGAACCUGGAUAAACCCUAAGCUCGGCUGUUUCAUGCCAGAUGAGAGAAGGCAUCAUUGGUGGCUUUGCAAGUAGAGGAUGUGAUUGGAGAUCCACAUGAAGGUAUAUGAUGGAUGUGAAGUCAGCAUUGAAAGGGGAUUUCAUGGGCAGAACCCAAUCUAAGUUUGUAUUGUUAAUAUAUUUAUGCUGGGUUUGUAUAAUUUUGCAGAGGAAAUUGAGUUUAUAUUAUUUGAUUUUGAAGCUUGUAGAAUUUAUGUUGUGGUUUGACUAUUGGGUUAGUGUUGUAGAAUAUAGAUUUGUAUUGUGGAAUUUGUGUUA
Molecule: long non-coding RNA, 585 nt
Organism: Hevea brasiliensis (rubber tree)
Lineage: Eukaryota; Viridiplantae; Streptophyta; Magnoliopsida; Malpighiales; Euphorbiaceae
Exons: 2
Source: RefSeq, a predicted model, not a curated record